CAGUCGCCACGGUAAUACGUAGGUGGCAAGCGUUGUCCGGAAUUAUUGGGCGUAAAGGGCUCGCAGGCGGUUUCUUAAGUCUGAUGUGAAAGCCCCCGGCUCAACCGGGGAGGGUCAUUGGAAACUGGGAAACUUGAGUGCAGAAGAGGAGAGUGGAAUUCCACGUGUAGCGGUGAAAUGCGUAGAGAUGUAGAGGAACACCAGUGGCGAAGGCGACUCUCUGGUCUGUAACUGACGCUGAGGGGCGAAAGCGUGGGGAGCGAACAGGAUUAGAUACCCCUGUAGUCCCUGUCUCUUAUAC
Molecule: ribosomal RNA, 301 nt
Filed under: uncultured bacterium
Lineage: Bacteria
Description: partial 16S ribosomal RNA
Rfam family: Bacterial small subunit ribosomal RNA
Source: RNAcentral